AGGACUGAGACCAGCCACUUAGCUGCCACUGAGGAUGAACACAGACUUUAAUCAUUGUUUGGGCAGGGACUGGAGAACCUUGCUGCACUGGACCUGAACUACUAUUGUUGGAUCUGAAAUGUCAGAAAAUAGGCUUUCUAUCUGUCACCUAAAGGAACAGUUACUCCCAGCGCGAGGACAAGACAAAGAGAAACUGUGAUUAAAAAGAGGAAGAAUAAAGUAAGAUGAGC
Chiroxiphia lanceolata (lance-tailed manakin) is the source of this 230-nucleotide long non-coding RNA. RefSeq lists it as uncharacterized. The record is from RefSeq and is a predicted model, not a curated record. Lineage: Eukaryota; Metazoa; Chordata; Aves; Passeriformes; Pipridae. The transcript has 3 exons.